Molecule: small nucleolar RNA, 129 nt
Organism: Electrophorus electricus (electric eel)
Lineage: Eukaryota; Metazoa; Chordata; Actinopteri; Gymnotiformes; Gymnotidae
Gene: SNORA71
Rfam family: Small nucleolar RNA SNORA71
About the family: The members of this family belong to the H/ACA class of snoRNAs which bind a number of proteins (including dyskerin, Gar1p and Nop10p) to form snoRNP complexes. This class of snoRNAs are thought to guide the sites of modification of uridines to pseudouridines by forming direct base pairing interactions with substrate RNAs.
Source: Ensembl
CCCUGUAUCGAAUGGGACUGUGGCAUGUCUGGUUGCCAGGUCACUGACAAUGCAGGAAGAGAAAACUGAAAGUCUUUCCCGUGUUUGCUAGACAACCAUGUUCUUGACAAACCCUGUAUCUUUCAGACA